RNAcentral lists this long non-coding RNA (616 nucleotides) under Equus caballus (horse). Its description in RNAcentral is "lncRNA (ENSECAG00000055310.1)". Lineage: Eukaryota; Metazoa; Chordata; Mammalia; Perissodactyla; Equidae. The record is from RNAcentral.
AGGUCUACUUGGUGAUUGCAGGAGUGACUGGCUGAAGGAGAGCGGAGUUCAAGAUCCUCAGAGGACGAGGAGCGUUCAGGGAACUGAAUGGCCAGGCUGUUGGUAGGACUGUCUACACAUCUGUCGACAAUUCAAAGAACUAACAGAGGAGAACUUUUGAAGAGAAUGACAGUAAGCAGCAGCCUGAAUGGACUAGGACAGUAUUUGAAAUCAGACUUGGGAUUGGAAUCCUGACUCUACCAUUUACUGAUGGUGUAACCAUGUGAGGUCAUUCAAAUUCUCCAAGGAAUUACUAACAGUUAUUACAACCAAUGCGGACUUUAAAAUCCUACCUGGACAUCGAGUCAGAACCGGAAAAAGGGUAGACAGCAAAUUAACCAUGGAUUAAGCAGACAGGAGGCCAAUAAAUCCAUGGUCACUUGUGUUUCCACCAGACAAUGCCUACUGGGAGGGUAAGAAGUGGUCCUCACAGGCAGGGUCUCUUCCUCAGAGCAACAGGAUACAGAGGCUGCCAAGAGCUCCCAACCAAAAACAUGAAAGGAGGAAAGAACAAAAAGCAUCCAAAAGGAAAGAAAAGGAAAUCUGAACACAAGCUGGCUGUCCUACAAUUUAACUC